CGUGAACGCUGGCGGUAGGCCUAACACACGCAAGUCGAAUGGCAGCACAGUAAGAGCUUGCUCUUAUGCGUGGCGAGUGGCAGACGGGGGAUGAAUACAUCGGAAUCUACUUUUUCGUUGGUGAUAACUUAGGGAAACUUACGGUAAUAACACAUACGGCCUACGGGUGAAAGCAGUUGGUUUUCGGACCUUGCACGAUAGAAUGAGGCGAUGUCGGAUUACUUAGUUGGCGUAGUAAAGGCCCACCAAGGCGACGAACCCUAGCGGGUCUGCUAGGAUGAUCAGCUACACUGUGACUGCAACUCGGUUCAGAGUGCUACGGGAGGAAGCAGUGGGGAAUACUGGACAAUGGGUGCAAGACGGAUCCAGCAAUACCGCGUGGGUGAAGAAGGCCUUCGGGUUGUAAAGCCCUUUUGUCGGGAAAGAAAAGCAGCAGCUUAACACCCCGCUGUUCUGACGGUAACCAAAGAAUAAACAACGGCUAACUUCGUG
Molecule: ribosomal RNA, 492 nt
Filed under: uncultured bacterium
Lineage: Bacteria
Description: partial 16S ribosomal RNA
Rfam family: Bacterial small subunit ribosomal RNA
Source: RNAcentral